Molecule: long non-coding RNA, 648 nt
Organism: Oreochromis aureus
Lineage: Eukaryota; Metazoa; Chordata; Actinopteri; Cichliformes; Cichlidae
Source: Ensembl
AUCUUAUUCAGGCUACAUAAAGCUCGCUGAACACCUCAUAUAAUCAGAUUCCUUCACACACUCACCUGUGCUCUCCAAAGCAGGAAAAGGCUGGCUGCUGCAUGUUGCCCUGAAAGUCCCAGGAGCUCUGCUGAAAGGAAAAGAUUAAUAAACCUUGCAAUAGAAAACUGCAAGGAUGAAACUGUCCUGCAGUGGCUGAGAGAAAAUUCAGAGUCUGGCACCUUCAGAAAACUCUCAGACAUGUUUGAUUUCCUGAAAAGUAAAAUUGAUGAGGAAGAAAAGAAGAACCAUGAUGACACUGUUGACAUAAUCUUUGUGGCACAUGGAGCAAUCAGAGACUCCAUGAUCCCAGCCAAGUGUUUGCUGCCUCUGCCCACCAUCACUGACCUGGUCCUGUACUCUCCCUGGAACUGUGCCACCACACCUGAAGUGACCUAUGGCAUUGCAACAGGAAAAAUGAGGCCACAGCACAGAGUUUUUCACCGAAGACUUCCACUACCGUUUUUUUUCCACGGUGCAAUUGUUGUUCACAACUAUCAACCCCUGAACCUGCCAAACUACUGGAACUCACUGAAGAAAGCUGGAGGACGGAAGAUCCCAAACAUCAUUGUUAGCCCUCUGCAGGAAGAUGAAAGAGUGUGGAAAAAA